GAAAUGCGAUAAGUAAUGUGAAUUGCAGAAUUCAGUGAAUCAUCGAAUCUUUGAACACACAUUGCGCCCGCCAGCACUCUGGCGGGCAUGCCUGUUCGAGCGUCAUUUCAACCCUCAGAACCCCUUGCGGGAUCUGGCGUUGGGGAUUGGCAUCCAGCCAGCCCCGAAAUCUAGUGGCGGUCCCUCCGCGACCUCCCCUGUGCAGUAGCGAUACCUCGCAGCGGGACAGCGGUCUGACCACGCCGUAAAACCCCCAACUUCUCAAGGUUGACCUCGAAUCAGGUAGGAAUACCCGCUUAACUUAAGC
RNAcentral lists this unclassified non-coding RNA (307 nucleotides) under plant metagenome. Its description in RNAcentral is "partial contains 5.8S ribosomal RNA, internal transcribed spacer 2, and large subunit ribosomal RNA". The stretch from base 1 to 105 matches the Rfam family "5.8S ribosomal RNA", at positions 50 to 154 of the family's 154-position model. The record is from RNAcentral.